AAACUGACCAGAUGAAUGAGAAACCC
RNAcentral lists this non-coding RNA (26 nucleotides) under Homo sapiens (human). The record is from RNAcentral. Lineage: Eukaryota; Metazoa; Chordata; Mammalia; Primates; Hominidae.